GAUGAAGAACGUAGCGAAAUGCGAUACGUAAUGUGAAUUGCAAAUUCAGUGAAUCAUCGAGUCUUUGAACGCACAUUGCGCCCCCUGGUAUUCCGGGGGGCAUGCCUGUCCGAGCGUCAUUGCUGCCCUCAAGCACGACUUGUGUGUUGGGCCCCGUCCUCCGAUCCCGGGGGACGGGCCCGAAAGGCAGCGGCGGCACCGCGUCCGGUCCUCGAGCGUAUGGGGCUUUGUCACCCGCUCUGUAGGCCCGGCCGGCGCUUGCCGAUCAACCCAAAUUUUUAUCCAGGUUGACCUCGGAUCAGGUAGGGAUACCCGCUGAACUUAAGCAUAUCAAUAAGCGGAGGA
This 345-nucleotide unclassified non-coding RNA is filed under the name soil metagenome. RNAcentral's name for it is "partial contains 5.8S ribosomal RNA, internal transcribed spacer 2, and large subunit ribosomal RNA". The stretch from base 1 to 119 matches the Rfam family "5.8S ribosomal RNA", at positions 35 to 154 of the family's 154-position model. The record is from RNAcentral.